ACGGUCCUAAGGUAGCGAAAUUCCUUGUCGGGUAAGUUCCGACCUGCACGAAUGGCAUAAUGAUGGCCACACUGUCUCCUCCCGAGACUCAGUGAAGUUGAAAUGUUUGUGAUGAUGCAAUCUCCCCGCGGCUAGACGGAAAGACCCCAUGAACCUUUACUGUAGCUUUGCAUUGGACUUUGAACCGAUUUGUGUAGGAUAGGCGGGAGGCAGAGAAAGCGCAACGCCAGUUGUGCCGGAGCCGACGUUGAAAUACCGCCCUGAUUUGUUUGAGGUUCUAACCUGGGACAGUCAUCCUGUCCGGGGACCGUGCAUGGUAGGCAGUUUGACUGGGGCGGUCUCCUCCUAAAGGGUAACGGAGGAGUGCGAAGGUACGCUAGGUACGGUCGGAAAUCGUGCUGAUAGUGCAAUGGCAAAAGCGUGCUUGACUGCGAGACCCACAAGUCGAGCAGAUACGAAAGUAGGUCAUAGUGAUCCGGUGGCUCUGUAUGGAAGGGCCAUCGCUCAACGGAUAAAAGGUACUCUGGGGAUAACAGGCUGAUACCGCCCAAGAGUUCAUAUCGACGGCGGUGUUUGGCACCUCGAUGUCGGCUCAUCUCAUCCUGGGGCUGUAGCCGGUCCCAAGGGUAUGGCUGUUCGCCAUUUAAAGAGGUACGUGAGCUGGGUUUAAAACGUCGUGAGACAGUUUGGUCCCUAUCUGCCGUGGGCGCUGGAAGAUUGACGGGGGCUGCUCCUAGUACGAGAGGACCGGAGUGGACUCACCUCUGGUGUACCGGUUGUCACGCCAGUGGCAUCGCCGGGUAGCUAUGUGCGGAAGAGAUAACCGCUGAAAGCAUCUAAGCGGGAAACUUGCCUGAAGAUAAGUCUUCCUGGAGGCUAGACCUCCCUAAAGAGUCGUUCGAGACCAGGACGUUGAUAGGAUGGGUGUGUAAGUGCUGUGAGGCACUCAGCUAACCAUUACUAAUUGCUCGUGAAGCUUGAUCCU
This 985-nucleotide ribosomal RNA is filed under the name human gut metagenome. RNAcentral's name for it is "bacterial LSU rRNA". It matches the Rfam family "Bacterial large subunit ribosomal RNA", at positions 1945 to 2925 of the family's 2925-position model. The record is from RNAcentral.